UGAGGGUAAAGGCCCACCAAGGCGACGAUCAGUAGCCGGUCUGAGAGGGUGAUCGGCCACAUUGGAACUGAGACACGGUCCAAACUCCUACGGGAGGCAGCAGUGGGGAAUAUUGCACAAUGGGCGAAAGCCUGAUGCAGCAACGCCGCGUGAACGAAGAAGGUCUUAGGAUCGUAAAGUUCUGUUGUUAGGGGCGAAGGGCGAUAGUUUAAAUAAGGCUAUUGUUUGACGGUACUUAACGAGGAAGCCACGGCUAACUAC
This 261-nucleotide ribosomal RNA is filed under the name uncultured bacterium. RNAcentral describes it as "partial 16S ribosomal RNA". It matches the Rfam family "Bacterial small subunit ribosomal RNA", at positions 253 to 504 of the family's 1533-position model. The record is from RNAcentral.